Molecule: non-coding RNA, 110 nt
Filed under: Nocardioides sp.
Lineage: Bacteria; Bacillati; Actinomycetota; Actinomycetes; Propionibacteriales; Nocardioidaceae
Also listed under: 1 other name
Description: TPP sequence
Rfam family: TPP riboswitch aptamer (THI element)
About the family: Vitamin B(1) in its active form thiamin pyrophosphate (TPP) is an essential coenzyme that is synthesised by coupling of pyrimidine and thiazole moieties in bacteria. The previously detected thiamin-regulatory element, thi box was extended, resulting in a new, highly conserved RNA secondary structure, the THI element, which is widely distributed in eubacteria and also occurs in some archaea.
Source: RNAcentral
UCCAGAAGACAGGGGAGCACGCGCGAGCGUGCUGAGAGUGCGGACCAGCCGCAGACCCUACGAACCUGAUCCGGUUAGCACCGGCGCUAGGGAGUCGAAGUGAAGUCCAU